RNAcentral lists this ribosomal RNA (253 nucleotides) under uncultured bacterium. RNAcentral describes it as "partial 16S ribosomal RNA". It matches the Rfam family "Bacterial small subunit ribosomal RNA", at positions 524 to 776 of the family's 1533-position model. The record is from RNAcentral.
UACGGGGGGGGCAAGCGUUGUUCGGAAUUACUGGGCGUAAAGGGCGCGUAGGCGGCCUUCUAAGUCAGACGUGAAAUCCCUCGGCUCAACCGAGGAACUGCGUCUGAUACUGGAAGGCUUGAAUCCGGGAGAGGGAUGUGGAAUUCCAGGUGUAGCGGUGAAAUGCGUAGAUAUCUGGAGGAACACCGGUGGCGAAGGCGGCAUCCUGGCCCUGUCCUGACGCUCAGGGGCGAAAGCGUGGGGAGCAAACCGG